This 779-nucleotide long non-coding RNA is filed under the name Brassica napus (rape). RNAcentral describes it as "long non-coding RNA (BNAP_LNC005938)". The record is from RNAcentral. Lineage: Eukaryota; Viridiplantae; Streptophyta; Magnoliopsida; Brassicales; Brassicaceae.
CUAAGAAUGCCUUGUUUGAACUACACACACAACUACCCCAGUUUACUUUUGCUUUCUUACAACAUUCCCAUGUUCUUGUUGCAGAAAAGUAAUCCUUAUAAACCUCAGUAUCAUGCCUCCAGAGGAAUUUAUCAUCACCCAAUCGCUGAUCAUGGACGGGUUCUACUUGAAUUUUGGCAUUAAGCUCUUGGAAAUGACGGCUCCUCUGCCCCCCUUACACUCUACUGUUCCUGUAGAACAGCAUCACACACCCUUGCACUUCGAAAAAUCUCAAGAUAGCGUGUGCCAACUGCACCUGUUACUUUGAUAAGUUUGCCAACAUGCAGCCAAUCAUCUUGCCAGAAGAAAGCUCUUGCACCAUUACCAACUUCCACCCUGAUAAACUGAAAUGCCAGAGUACGCAUCUUAAGGAGUUUACUCCAUAUCCAUGAUCAUGUAGAUUCAUCACGCACAUCCCAAAACGAGCUAUGACGUAGGAGAUAAUGCUGAAUCCAUGAAACUGACAUAGAGCCUGACAUAUUAAAUAUGUGCCAUAUCAAAUUAAGAGCAAAGACCCCGACAUAAUCAUAUAGUCUCCUAAAAGCAUCUCCAACUCUACUUCAUAAUUUACUGCAAAAUGGAGUGGAAAAUAUAGUAGUGAAGAAACAAAAAAGUGUUUACUCCAUAAAUGGAAUAAUAAUUUUUGUUUUUGUUUUUUCAUUGCUAUAUUUAUCACUUCAUUUUGUAGUAAAUUAUGUAAUAGGAAUGGAUAUGCCCUAAUACCAAGUCCCCCCCCCCUC